Pectinophora gossypiella (pink bollworm) is the source of this 380-nucleotide long non-coding RNA. RefSeq lists it as uncharacterized. The record is from RefSeq and is a predicted model, not a curated record. The transcript is spliced from 2 exons. Lineage: Eukaryota; Metazoa; Arthropoda; Insecta; Lepidoptera; Gelechiidae.
CAUACCUGUUGUGUCUUAUACACCUGUUGUGUCUUAUACAACUUAGGUCUCAAUUUUGGCACUACAAACAUGGAGGAUGGAGAUGAAAACAGAGAUCUGAUACACGACUCGCAGAGGGAUGAAAAUGUAUAUUCUCAAACUGGGGAAUCCACUGACUUAUUAAGAGGUAGAGUAUUGAGAGAACAAUUAGUAAGAAGAAUGCAAUAAAUGAAUUUGUAUUAGAUAGUAGAAGUUGCCUGUAAAUAGUUGACGAGAUACUUGUUUUCAUAUUUUGUAAAAUUAAAUCCUUUUAUGAUUGUGUCAUUACAUAAAGUUCUUCUAUGUUUAAAAAUAUAUCUUGUAUGUAUAUAUGUGAUAAAUAAAAAAUCUUUUUAUUUAUG